GGGCAUCCAGAAAUAGAGAGAAUAUUUUGGGAAGAGCUAAAAAUCAGUCCUUAAGAUCAUUUUUAAGUUUGGAGAUUUCAGCUUUAGGUUCCCUUUGAGGGUUAAAUGAUACUUUAAAAUAAAGAGGGAUAGUUGAAAAAGAAUAAUAUUGUUUCAUUGAAGUGAAAAUAGCUAGAAAAUUUCUCUUUUACUUCUGCUAUGUACUUGAAGUUAAAAUACUUGGAGUAGUUUAUUGUUUUGGAUCUAUUUGUCUGAAUCAAAAUUCAAUACCAAUUUUGGUCAAAGUUGUGUCUGAGUUCUAAUGGGUUCAUGCUAUUCUUGGUUUGGUUGAGUUAAGCUUUGGGCUUUGUUGAUUUCUGCCCGUUACUGUUGUUCGUUGAUUGUUGAUUUCUGUCGCUUACUGCUGUUGAUCCUUCAUUUUGUGGCUUGAUAACACAUUUCCAGGUGCAUACAUUGAACCAGUUAUGGUGUAUAGUUCAGAUUGGAAGUGGAAUGAAAAAUGCUGACCGUUUAUAUCCUGAAUAAUACGUGUUCAAUCUGUCCUAAUAGAGUAAAUACUAGAUGAUUUGUAUUUGUUCAGGUUUACUGUUAACUGACGGUUACAUUGUACUAUUGGACUGUUAAUUAUAGGAUUGUAUUAAGUAGGACUGUUUGGAUUCAUUUUGUAUAGGGCUGUUAGUAUAAUAUCUGGAGAGACAAAAGGCGUACUAUUCUACUUUUAUUCUCUAAGUGAGUGUUAACGUGAUUAUCUGCUCGUAUGUACAUGCUCGUUUGUAAGACUCUUAGGUACUGUUAGUGGUCUAUUUAAAUUGUGAAUCUUCCUGCUGUUAAAAAAGCCUUUAGUAAUUGAGUCCUUAGUAGCCCAUCAGUCUACUUGUGCAAAUUAAAUGUAUUGAGUUUGUUUAUGCUUUGGUUUUCAACGUGUGGAUGAUUUUGUCUUCAGGCCACAGAAGUUUGAGAACUAACUUAUUCGCCUUCAAAUUGUCGCUUCAAUUUGUUUGAAUUUAUUUGCUUCAGUCUUGGUUGAGUUUUAAAAAAAAAUAAUACUUCUAUUACUAUAAAGUAAUCGUGGGUUCUAAAGUAAUGAAAGUCGCAAUAUUGGCAGCACUCAUUAGAAGUUAUGAGUAUCAUUUUUAAUAUUGUUGUUAGUAAAUAAGAUAUUAUAUUGUCUAUAGGUGAACACUAGCCCAUUUUACUGUAUUUGUAUUUAAGAGGAUGUGAUAUUUCUUUUGGUUUCGUAAUUUGUUGGCUUGUGAUGUUUUAACCAAGAACGGAUAAUAAUAUGAUUUUCAUACACAAUUGGAUAUUAGUUGGAAGUUGUGUGUAAACCUAUGUGUUCCCUUUUUCCAUUGCAUCAAUAAUGUAAGAAAAUGAAUCAUAAAAAAUAAUUUGUUGAUAAUUUUAUUUUUAUUUUUAUACAACUUAUUUUGUUGGAAAUUCUUAGAAGCUGAAAUUUGCAAGACUAGUUUUUAAAAAAAAAAAUAAUUUUACUUCGUAGCUUACUUUAGGCAUGAAUCUGGCAAGAGGGUUAAAUAUAUAAAUUUAAUAAUUUUGUUAAUAAGAUUUAAUAAUU
Molecule: long non-coding RNA, 1573 nt
Filed under: Nicotiana benthamiana
Lineage: Eukaryota; Viridiplantae; Streptophyta; Magnoliopsida; Solanales; Solanaceae
Description: long non-coding RNA (NBEN_LNC024140)
Source: RNAcentral